Molecule: long non-coding RNA, 318 nt
Filed under: Androctonus crassicauda
Lineage: Eukaryota; Metazoa; Arthropoda; Arachnida; Scorpiones; Buthidae
Source: RNAcentral
GUGGCGGUGGGGGUGGACUCUUCGUGGUUGUUUGGGGAGUUUCCCUUUGUACAGGAGGUGGGAUUCACAGCAGACUGAAUGGGUGGGUUCUCUUGGGAGCUCUGCAUCCAUGCACUGUGGAGGCGCGUUUUCUGGUAGGGGCCUGUGGGGUGCAGUGGUUGCGGCUCCGGCCUGGCCGAUGGGUGGGGGCUCUUGGGGUCAUGUGUCUCAGUGGCGUUGCAGUCGUUCCGUGUCAUUGCUUUUAUCCUUCUUGGGGCAUCGUCCAUUAAGGUUGUGGAGUGCUGGUCGGGUCCUGGUGUUCUGUUGCACCGUCUGGCG